Molecule: long non-coding RNA, 672 nt
Organism: Thunnus maccoyii (southern bluefin tuna)
Lineage: Eukaryota; Metazoa; Chordata; Actinopteri; Scombriformes; Scombridae
Exons: 3
Source: RefSeq, a predicted model, not a curated record
CUUUCUCAAGAGAUAUUCUAAAAGCCUGCAGUAAUCCUCCCCUCACCAUGUCUGGGUCUGAAUCAGCAUCAGUCCUACAUUGCCGGUGGGGAAGGAGGAGCACGCUGCAAGAGCACUGCUGCUGAGAUUAAAACCUGAUGGAGGGUGUCUGAGCAAUGCAUGUGUGUAUAGAUGUACAGCAGGGAGUGGAGAUGCGGUAUGCUCUGGCAUAUGGAUGGCUAACAAACCAACAAAUUGAAAAGAAUGUGAAGUCCAUGAAGUGGACCUACAGCCUGCUUCACACUGCACUCUGUGGAGAUUUCCAGGCCACAAGAAAUUCAGAUUGUGAUCUAGCUGUAGACAUCACUGCUGGAAGUGCUACUACUGCUGUGUGCCCUUGAAAAGACAAUUAACCCCCACUAGCUCCAGUAGUACAGGUGAAACUGUACUUACUGACGUUGAUGUGUCCUGAAUCUCUGUGUGGUUACACUACAAUAAAACUCAGAUUCUUGUUGAAUCCCCCAUUAGGCUGUAAUAUAGUUGUUUUAUUAUUCCAGCAAAUUUUAGUGAAUGAUAUACUGUGUCACUUCUCUUUUAGUUGGUAUUAAUGUAACAUUACAUUUCACAGUAUUAUACACAUUUAUGUUGUCUUAAUGUUAUCAAAUUGAGGGUCUAAGGACAGAGGAUGUUGUA